CAAAUGGUUAAAAAUCAAAAAUUGGAACGAUAUAGAGAAGAUUAGCAUGGCUCCCAUGUAAGGAUGGAGGGCAAAUUUGUGAAGGGUUCCAUAGUUUU
Molecule: small nuclear RNA, 98 nt
Organism: Pteropus vampyrus (large flying fox)
Lineage: Eukaryota; Metazoa; Chordata; Mammalia; Chiroptera; Pteropodidae
Source: Ensembl